Molecule: ribosomal RNA, 460 nt
Filed under: uncultured bacterium
Lineage: Bacteria
Description: partial 16S ribosomal RNA
Rfam family: Bacterial small subunit ribosomal RNA
Source: RNAcentral
CCUACGGUGGGCAGCAGUGAGGAAUAUUGGUCAAUGGACGAGAGUCUGAACCAGCCAAGUAGCGUGAAGGAUGACUGCCCUAUGGGUUGUAAACUUCUUUUAUAUGGGAAUAAAAUGUUCCACGUGUGGGAUUUUGUAUGUACCAUAUGAAUAAGGAUCGGCUAACUCCGUACCAGCAGCCGCGGUAAUACGGAGGAUCCGAGCGUUAUCCGGAUUUAUUGGGUUUAAAGGGAGCGUAGGUGGGUUGUUAAGUCAGUUGUGAAAGUUUGCGGCUCAACCGUAAAAUUGCAGUUGAAACUGGCAGUCGUGAGUACAGUAGAGGUGGGCGGAAUUCGUGGUGUAGCGGUGAAAUGCUUAGAUAUCACGCAGAACUCCGAUUGCGAAGGCAACAUACCGGCGCGCAACUGACGCUCAUGCACGAAAGCGUGGGUAUCGAACAGGAUUAGAUACCCUAGUAGUC